UAGAUGGAUGCUCGCUGGCUUGAGCGCUUAGCUGUU
RNAcentral lists this transfer RNA (36 nucleotides) under Hypophthalmichthys nobilis (bighead carp). RNAcentral's name for it is "partial tRNA-Asn". Lineage: Eukaryota; Metazoa; Chordata; Actinopteri; Cypriniformes; Xenocyprididae. The record is from RNAcentral.